AGAGUUUGAUCCUGGCUCAGAAUGAACGCUGGCGGCGUGCCUAACACAUGCAAGUCGGAUGUGCCCGCAAGGGUGCAUGGCAGACGGGUGAGUAACGCGUGGGGAAUCUACCUCUUUGUGGGGAAUAACGCUCCGAAAGGAGUGGUAAUACCGCAUGAGAUCCAUGGCUGGAAUGUUGUGGAUGAAACCUGGGGACCCUCGGGCCUGGGGCAAGGAGAGGAUCCUGCGUCUGAUUAGCUAGUUGGUGAGGUAACGGCCCACCAAGGCAACGAUCAGUAGCCGGCCUGAGAGGGUGAUCGGCCACACUGGAACUGAGACACGGUCCAGACUCCUACGGGAGGCAGCAGUGGGGAAUUUUGCGCAAUGGGCGAAAGCCUGACGCAGCAACGCCGCGUGGGUGAUGAA
This 405-nucleotide ribosomal RNA is filed under the name uncultured bacterium. Its description in RNAcentral is "bacterial SSU rRNA". It matches the Rfam family "Bacterial small subunit ribosomal RNA", at positions 8 to 412 of the family's 1533-position model. The record is from RNAcentral.